AGCAGUAGCCACGGUAAUACGUAGGUGGCAAGCGUUGUCCGAAGUUACUGGGCGUAAAGCGCGCGUAGGCGGCUUCUUAAGUCUGAGGUGAAAGGUUCAACGCUUAACGUGAACAGUGCCUUGAUACUGGGGAGCUUGAGUAUGGGAGAGGGCAGUGGAAUGGCUGGUGUAGCGGUGAAAUGCGUAGAUAUCAGUCGGAACACCCAUGGCGAAGGCAGCUGCCUGGCCUAAUACUGACGCUGAGGUGCGAAAGCGUGGGGAGCGAACGGGAUUAGAUACCCCUGUGUCCCUGUCUCUUAUACA
Molecule: ribosomal RNA, 303 nt
Filed under: uncultured bacterium
Lineage: Bacteria
Description: partial 16S ribosomal RNA
Rfam family: Bacterial small subunit ribosomal RNA
Source: RNAcentral